Molecule: long non-coding RNA, 1260 nt
Organism: Bombyx mori (domestic silkworm)
Lineage: Eukaryota; Metazoa; Arthropoda; Insecta; Lepidoptera; Bombycidae
Exons: 2
Source: RefSeq, a predicted model, not a curated record
ACAAUACUAGUAUAGAUGGGCAUGAAUUUGUUAAGCCAGCCUAGCCAGAGCAAGGUAAAUAAAAGAAUCAAAGGGGCAUGUGAAAAAAAAAAGUGAUGCAUUGUUGUAGCAUAUUGUAGUUUAAAUUGUAUCUAAAUAAAAUGGCAUAUAGUAUUCUACUAUUUCAUUUAAAUAGAGAAAUAUAAUGGUCAGGUCUAAUUAAAUAUAAGAAAAAUUCUUUCCAACAAACAUGAUUUAAAAACACUUUGUCUGCAGUCUCUGCACUGUUUCAAAGAAGACCUACAAACUAUUUACUAUAAGGCAUAUACCAUUAUAGCAUCCAAAACCAACCGUUUGAGCUAUAAGCUAGACAGGAUAAAAAUAUAUAAAUAAUGAAGCUAAGUUUUCAUAAAUAUUAUUACUGACACAGUUAUAUUUAAUUAUGUGUUAAUCUUAUCUUUGUGUUUAUAAUAGCUAUUAAUAUGCUGCAGUAUACAUUAAAUUUGUAAAGAUAAAGGUGCAGAUAUUUUCCUUAAUAAGGAGUUUGUGAUCAUUAAUUAGAAUACUGUGAAAAACUUAUGUUGAAUUGCAAUGACAUAUUGUCAAUGUUUUAAAAAUUGGCUUAUGGUCAAAAUAUAGAAGAAAAAACUCAUUUCAAUGGCGUUUUAUAAAGGAUAACAAAAGAAAACAUACCUAGGGAACUAGAAAUUACGGACGAUAUAGGCUAGUAAGUUGAAGUUGUACGAAAACAGCUGAUGAAAUUCAUACAGUAAGUAUAAAAAUGAAAUCUUACACUGUCAUAUUUCCAGCUCCACGAACAACUAUCGGAUCUGGCACUAAUGUCACAUGCAUCUCCUCUAUAUUUUCUUCACCGUCAUCGAGAUCAUCUGGAUAAAUAGCAUCAAAAUCUGCCAUUUUACUUACUAACUAUAAGUCUAUAACGUCUAUUAUAAACACAUAACAAAGCACUGUUUGUUGGAUAUUAAACUUCUAAGCAAAAAGAAAAAAGGAAUACAUAGUAAUAGUAAGUGUGUAUAUGUUUGACAUUUGCUUUAUAAACAGAUUUGUCUAGUGUUGCCUCUUAUUUGUUAUAUUGUCUGCUAUUCUAUAGUAGAAAAUAACAUGAACGAAAUCAAAAAUAUUGUAAAACCGAUUACGUAAUUAAUUAUUGUGAAAUCCUAAUUUAUAUUCAUCAAAAUUACCAAAAAGAAACAUUGAUUAAAUGUAGAAUAUGAACAAAACCUUAUAUAUUAUACACUGUAAUAAAGUUGUAGAGGAUGC